UUUUUUUUUUUUUUUUUUUGGAUUGAACUAAAAGGCUUAUGGUUAUUUUUGGAAAUAGACAUGCAAUCUAAUGAAAACAUUGUUUUCAUCAUGUUACUGUAAAAUAACUUUGCAAUAUAGUUAACAAAUAUAAUCAAUACAUCUUUACCUACUUUUGUAGUUAUAGAAACAUCCAGGAAAAAAGCUGUUAAUGUUUAAAAUGUGUUUAAUUUGCCUGAUUUAAACUAGUGAGCACCAAUUUAACAUGCAGGUUGCCAGAAGGUGGAGCUCUAGGUUCAGUCAUUUCAAAACAGAGCACACAGACAUAAAUUGAGUUAGUUGAGGAAAGUCACAAAAGUCUUUUUGUUUCUUGCUGGUGUAGAUGUUUCUCCUGGUCCUCUUGAUACUUUCUCCUCUUAAGGAGAAUGCUGAUGCUGAAGUGAUAACCUCAUUCUUCACAGAGCAGCAUGUUUUGGCAGGGAAAGAUAUUACUCUUUCCUGCAAUUACAGUGGCUUUGUUCAAAACUUGCAGUGGUAUCGUCAGUAUCCCGGAUCCAAACCUGAGAAUAUAAUUUUUUAUACUGAGACCAGCAGUCAGUCAAAGCUUCGUCUGUAUGCUGUGGCAGAUAAAGGAAUCAAACUUAUGAAUUUGAGCAUAUCUUCUACUCAAAUGGAUGAUUCUGCCAUGUACUACUGUGCCCUGCAGCCCACAGUGACAGGAAAUACAACUGCACUGUACAAAAACUUUCUUAUGGGCUAUUCUUACUAGAAGGCACUUUCACACCAGUUUUUCCUAAUUGUCUUU
Molecule: non-coding RNA, 784 nt
Organism: Cyprinus carpio (common carp)
Lineage: Eukaryota; Metazoa; Chordata; Actinopteri; Cypriniformes; Cyprinidae
Source: the annotation of a RefSeq genome assembly